UCCCACCACAUCUCCUAAACCUGCAGCUUCUCUAAUCUUACUCAAUGCAAUUGUUGGAGUGAAUCAGCACAGGGAAAUGAGCAACCUUGCAGCUCAGCACAGCUAGGAACAACUGACAUGGGGAUUUCUGAAUCAGAAUCAGCACCUGUAUCCCCUGCAAAGUGCAGGAUGUUGAUUUUUGGUAAAAUGUGGUCUGCGCAAGACACUUCUGAGUUAAACCCUGACCUGGCAGUGAGUUCUCAUGGAACCCUGGUCUCCUGAAAACGAUGACAGUGAAAAUGGGAGUGAAGGUGUCUUUAAGAGAGGAGGCCUGAGGAAUAAUUCCCUUUGAAAUUACCUUUGCCGGUGUAUAACCUGUGCUGCUGCUGGAUCACAGGGACCUGACAGCUUUUGCUUUUCCUCAGCUGCCCACUGGAUGAGGGAAAGGCACUCACAGAGGUGAUCGUGGCUGGAGCCGCUUUGUGUUUUGCAGCUCAUGCCUCAAAUUCCAUCUAGAAAACAACCAAGAAAAAAACAACCCAGCAGCCUGGUCUCAGAGCAACGGGGCAACAAUAUCAGUGCGUGAA
Long non-coding RNA from Pezoporus occidentalis (night parrot), 566 nucleotides. RefSeq lists it as uncharacterized. The transcript is spliced from 3 exons. The record is from RefSeq and is a predicted model, not a curated record. NCBI's taxonomy places the organism in Eukaryota, Metazoa, Chordata, Aves, Psittaciformes, Psittacidae.